RNAcentral lists this transfer-messenger RNA (379 nucleotides) under Gammaproteobacteria bacterium. It matches the Rfam family "transfer-messenger RNA". From Rfam's summary of the family: Bacterial tmRNA, also known as 10Sa RNA or SsrA, is named for its dual tRNA and mRNA-like properties. Its role is to liberate the mRNA from a stalled ribosome. The record is from RNAcentral. Lineage: Bacteria; Pseudomonadati; Pseudomonadota; Gammaproteobacteria.
GGGGGCGACUUGGCUUCGACGGGGGUCGCGAAACCCGAGGUGCAUGUCGAGAGAGUGAAUAAUCUCGUAAAUCAAAUUUCACAUUUUAAAGUAUUCGCAAACGACGAAAACUACGCUCUAGCUGCUUAAUCGCGGCUGGACUCUCGGCAGUUACUUGCUUGUGAGGGCUGAGUUUACCUAGUAAACACCCGAGAGUCAUUUAUCACAAGAUCGACGAAUCUGAUUGUCUGGUUCAGAAUCGUCUAAAACUUUACAGAAUCGCUGAACAUGUUCCCUGCCGGUCGGGUUGUGUUCAGUUAAAUUAAUAGAUUCGGCUAAACAUGUAGAUCCAACGGCAGAGGGCUUGCGGACGCGGGUUCAAUUCCCGCCGCCUCCACCA